This 93-nucleotide transfer RNA is filed under the name Gammaproteobacteria bacterium RIFCSPHIGHO2_02_FULL_42_13. RNAcentral describes it as "tRNA-Ser". It matches the Rfam family "tRNA". From Rfam's summary of the family: Transfer RNA (tRNA) molecules are approximately 80 nucleotides in length. Their secondary structure includes four short double-helical elements and three loops (D, anti-codon, and T loops). Further hydrogen bonds mediate the characteristic L-shaped molecular structure. tRNAs have two regions of fundamental functional importance: the anti-codon, which is responsible for specific mRNA codon recognition, and the 3' end, to which the tRNAs corresponding amino acid is attached (by aminoacyl-tRNA synthetases). tRNAs cope with the degeneracy of the genetic code in two manners: having more than one tRNA (with a specific anti-codon) for a particular amino acid; and 'wobble' base-pairing, i.e. permitting non-standard base-pairing at the 3rd anti-codon position. Lineage: Bacteria; Pseudomonadati; Pseudomonadota; Gammaproteobacteria. RNAcentral also lists the same sequence under 1 other name. The record is from RNAcentral.
GGAGAGGUGGCCGAGUGGCUGAAGGCGCUCCCCUGCUAAGGGAGUAUGGGGCCUAAAACCUCAUCGAGGGUUCGAAUCCCUCCCUCUCCGCCA